GACGAACGCUGGCGGCGUGCUUAACACAUGCAAGUCGAACGGAAAGGCCCUGCUUUUGUGGGGUGCUCGAGUGGCGAACGGGUGAGUAACACGUGAGUAACCUGCCCUUGACUUUGGGAUAACUUCAGGAAACUGGGGCUAAUACCGGAUAGGAGCUCCUGCUGCAUGGUGGGGGUUGGAAAGUUUCGGCGGUUGGGGAUGGACUCGCGGCUUAUCAGCUUGUUGGGGGGGUAGUGGCUUACCAAGGCUUUGACGGGUAGCCGGCCUGAGAGGGUGACCGGCCACAGUGGGACUGAGAUACGGCCCAGACUCCUACGGGAGGCAGCAGUGGGGAAUAUUGCACGAUGGGCGGAAGCCUGAUGCAGCAACGCCGCGUGCGGGAUGACGGCCUUCGGGUUGUAAACCGCUUUCGCCUGUGACGAAGCGUGAGUGACGGUAAUGGGUAAAGAAGCACCGGCUAACUACGUG
Molecule: ribosomal RNA, 468 nt
Filed under: uncultured bacterium
Lineage: Bacteria
Description: partial 16S ribosomal RNA
Rfam family: Bacterial small subunit ribosomal RNA
Source: RNAcentral